UCUCCCAGUCUCCUCUCCUCACAAGGAGGCAGCAAAUACAGCCGUUGCCACAAGGGGGCGCACUUUCUCCCCGACCCAGGGUUUCCACCCUGGUGUUUCCCACCAACCAGCAGGAAGGGCCCUCUCUGUCAUUACCCGGGCGUCUUUGGCAGAAAGGGAAAACAACUGCAGCCACACUCGCAUGGUUUCUGUAAAUCCCACAUCUUUCUCUCUGGAUCCUCCACCCCAGGAAUCAAAAAGAGCAAAUGAUUCCACGUUCAUUUCACAGAAAACUGCAAAAGGACAGAAAAGCCAGAGAACCCUCAGUUCUGACUUUAGGAAAGCCCUGGACUUGGACGCUAUCCCUGACUUCCCCGUCACCAAAGGGUUAUGAAGACAAAGAGAAACGUGCAUGAAAGAGACUGACAGCUGGACUCUACUCUAGACCAAGAAGACACAACAAAAGCAAAAGGAAUGCAGAAUUAAAACUGAAAGGAAAUUACAUGAAGAGUAAGAGGGAAAGGACUCCAUAGUCUGCUUACAACUCGUUUGGGAGGCUAAUUUCAAAGUCUCAAGCCUUAUGGUUUAGCCUAUCUAGAAUUUUCCAUAAGCUUCCCAGGGCUCUGGGUCAGCCACAAAAUGGCUCUCUCAGUUUCUUAAGCUGAAAUCAACAAGACUGUUCAUACUCUGGCAAAACACUCCCCCUCACCUAAGCAGAUCACAUACGGCUCAGAAUGUCACCAGUGAGACAGAGGCUCCCAGGGCCACUAAUGGGCUUUAAAGAAUAUUAAUGCUUAAGGACAGCAACACAGGUCAUUUUGCACAGCAGUUACUUUAAUCGCCACGCCCGGGCUCCAUCCAAGCAGCAGCAGCGUUUCCUCAGCAGCCUCCUCCCUCCAAAAGUCCCUCAGUGACCGCCGCCGGGAGACUGCUCAAAGCACAUGCCGUCUACUUCACAUGGAGCCAGUUCCUGAAUGUCACCUGGCAGUCAUCCAGUGACACCUCCCAAGAUUAUGUUACUUUGGUAUUUGAUACCCAGUGGGUGUUGACAGUUACUACCAGACCUUCUCAGGAGCCCGUGUCACCUUCAUUAACACGCGUGACCCCCAUGGGUGGAGGCCUUGUUGUGUAGUGCUCCUUACUGACAAAACCAAGGGAAUCUUAGUAGUUCAGCUGGUUCUCCCAACUCCACUCCACUGAAACAAAACCGAGUUCUGGACAGUGAUAUGUGUCAAGCUGCCAUCAAAAACCGUUAUAUGGUUUUUAAUAUAACUAGGUGGCUCUGUGCUGCAGAUCAGACUGCCAGGUGUGGGGUCCCCUUACUAUGUGGAACAGGAUUCAAGGAUCACUUCUCCCUCUGGAUUAGCUGUAUGGAGAAUUCUACUUGCCCCAGGUCCCAGGAGAACAGAGAGUGAGCCCCCACUAUACAUUCAUGAGAGAUGUCACACAGGGCGACAGUGGCUACUUUUGCUCAACAGGACUGGCUCAUUCCACCAGUCAUCUUCAAGCCCAAGGGCACAGGAAUGCUCUCCGGUUCCAGAGUAAGAGGCAGAAUACAGCCUGAUACCUGAGGGCAUACACUGAUGUUUUCUAAUUGUCAGGGGUCAGGGGCCAGACUGAACACAUCCAGUCAUUAAAUGGAAACAGAAGCCAUCUGGGUUAGCAGUGGCUGUCCCUGGUUAUAAUAUGUCAGAAAAGGACGCUACGACCACAAAACUAAAUCCAGGAGGCUUACAUGACUUCACCCCAACAAGGAAUACUGAAAUAUAUCUCAGCAGAAGCUACUCUUAAAACAAUGCUGGGACUCUGUCCAAAGGCUGACACACAUUCUUGUUGCUUGCGUGUGCUGCAAACUGUACGUCUCUAGGACAAGAGUCCUGUUUAAAAUUUACAUUGAGAUUGAUGCUGACUCAACACAUUAUUAAAGUGGAACUCCAGUAGAUA
This is a long non-coding RNA of Rattus norvegicus (Norway rat), 1923 nucleotides long. RefSeq lists it as uncharacterized. The record is from RefSeq and is a predicted model, not a curated record. NCBI's taxonomy places the organism in Eukaryota, Metazoa, Chordata, Mammalia, Rodentia, Muridae.